This is a long non-coding RNA of Mytilus californianus (California mussel), 729 nucleotides long. RefSeq lists it as uncharacterized. The transcript is spliced from 2 exons. The record is from RefSeq and is a predicted model, not a curated record. NCBI's taxonomy places the organism in Eukaryota, Metazoa, Mollusca, Bivalvia, Mytilida, Mytilidae.
UGAGAAAAGUUUAUGUCAGAUGUAGAUGUUGAUGUCAAAAUGUAUACAGCUUCGGGGUCCGAAGCUAGAGGGAUGUUGGGAGAGUUGUCAUGUUGUAAAAAUGCGUGAAAUUGUGCAUUCUAGCAUUUUCAUCUUUUUAUGUCGUGUUUGGUAUCAAAAGUCAUUAUUUCUUAUGAGUAAUUAAGUUUCAAUGUUUUUAUUACGGAAGGAGUGCAUUUUGUUAGGGAAACAAGGUUUUGAACUAUUUUUCAAAUAUUUUCAUAAAAGACAUUUAUAAGCCGUUUUAGCGUUACAUGGAAAUAUUUAUGGAUUAAGAUUAAGAUUAUGUCGUGAGAAUACUUUUUGACAACAAUGGUCAUCAAUGUAAUUUAUUUGUCAACACCCGAACUUUAUAUAGAGUGAAUAAUGUCAAUUAACACUAAUUCUUAAUUUAAUCUGCUUUUGAUAUAUUUCAUUGUUUGGAAACUAUUUGUUUAGAAGUACCUUUUUCUAUUUUCAUUGGUCAAAACGCUUCUAUGAUCAUGUUUUAUAAAGGUUAAUUUUGAAACCAAAGAGAAGAGAGAAAAAAAAAAAAGAGAACCAUGUGACGCAUCGGUUCGCCCCGCUCUCGAUCUGCGAGUAGCGGCGGGUUAAUGUAUGUUGCCAUGAUUACUGUUUUGUAAAUAUGCUUUAUGAACUGUGAUUGUAUAUAUGUUGGAUGGAAAAAUAAAGUAUGUGAACGUUCAUGUA